This is a transfer RNA of Coccidioides immitis RMSCC 3703, 72 nucleotides long. It matches the Rfam family "tRNA". From Rfam's summary of the family: Transfer RNA (tRNA) molecules are approximately 80 nucleotides in length. Their secondary structure includes four short double-helical elements and three loops (D, anti-codon, and T loops). The record is from Rfam. NCBI's taxonomy places the organism in Eukaryota, Fungi, Ascomycota, Eurotiomycetes, Onygenales, Onygenaceae.
GGGGUCAUGGUCUAGUGGUUAGGACAUGACGUUGUGGCCGUCAUAACCCGCGUUCGAUUCGCGGUGAUCCCA